Molecule: long non-coding RNA, 710 nt
Filed under: Mytilus galloprovincialis (Mediterranean mussel)
Lineage: Eukaryota; Metazoa; Mollusca; Bivalvia; Mytilida; Mytilidae
Source: RNAcentral
AUGAUCAAAUGAAAAAUGGGUGUCUUUCGCCUAAUUUUUUCGUAAAAUCUAAUCACAAAGUUCGUGCGACAAAAAGUUGGAAAAAACAUUACAAUAAUUGCCGGACCAAAGUAUGGUAUGGGCAUGCAAAUACGGACUGUCAUACAGAAAACAGCCUAUAUUCCAUGCAUUUCAUAAUCUUGAUGUUCAUAUAAACCCAAUACGAAGGCUAUUUUAGUACUCAGCUAUCCAAAAAUGAAUUUUAUUGCAAACUAGCUCUCAUAUUUUAAAAAUCCACAGGGGCCAAAAUGCGAAACUACACACCUAACUCACAGUGCUACCACAAGCGAUGGGAUACAUAUUUUAAAGGGGUGAGCAUAGUAUAUAAGUAGAUAUCAUGCUACUUAAAUUUUAUCAUAUUGUCUCUAUCAAACUAGGGUGUACACGCUUAAAGGUUUGGUCUGCUUUACCGAGCAAUUGAUUUUAUUGUAUAGGCCUUAAUGUAAAUCUCUAUUACAAGUAUUACAUAAACUCAACAUCAUCCACGGAAACGAGUCAAGCUCAGAAAAAGCAACCGACAGUACAUGUACAUGUACACCUUACAAUCAUUCCAUACAACAUACAUAGCCGACCUAUUGCUUACAGUUUCUAAGUAACAAACUUAAUCAGGAAAAUUUAAGAUUGACCAAUGAACCACUAAAUGAGGUCAAGGUCAGAUGAACAAUGCCAGA